AGCGAACGCUGGCGGCAGGCCUAACACAUGCAAGUCGAGCGCCCCGCAAGGGGAGCGGCAGACGGGAGAGUAACACGUGGGAACGUACCCUUUGGUUCGGAACAACCCAGGGAAACUUGGGCUAAUACCGAAUAAGCCCUUACGGGGAAAGAUUUAUCGCCGAAGGAUCGGCCCGCGUCUGAUUAGCUAGUUGGUGAGGUAACGGCUCACCAAGGCGACGAUCAGUAGCUGGUCUGAGAGGAUGAUCAGCCUCACUGGGACUGAGACACGGCCCAGACUCCUACGGGAGGCAGCAGUGGGGAAUAUUGGACAAUGGGCGCAAGCCUGAUCCAGCCAUGCCGCGUGGGUGAUGAAGGCCCUAGGGUUGUAAAGCCCUUUCGGCGGGGAAGAUAAUGACGGUACCCGCAGAAGAAGCCCCGGCUAACUUCGUGCCAGCCGCCGCGGUAA
RNAcentral lists this ribosomal RNA (447 nucleotides) under uncultured bacterium. RNAcentral describes it as "partial 16S ribosomal RNA". It matches the Rfam family "Bacterial small subunit ribosomal RNA", at positions 29 to 523 of the family's 1533-position model. The record is from RNAcentral.